Molecule: non-coding RNA, 710 nt
Organism: Theobroma cacao (cacao)
Lineage: Eukaryota; Viridiplantae; Streptophyta; Magnoliopsida; Malvales; Malvaceae
Source: RefSeq, a predicted model, not a curated record
UUUAGAGAGAAAGAGAGAAAGAGAGAUAUUCCAUAAUAGCUUGAAAACUCUUGGCAAGGAAUUCAAAUUACAAAAUCCACCAAGUGUGGGAGGGCACAUGCCGAUGAUGACGUGGUGUGAUUCUAGCUAAGUGCGGAGUGGGAGUGAGCAUGAGCUGAUGACUGGGGGUUGUAUCUAUGUUUGGUAUGCAGUGUGGGAGUGCACAGGAUGAUUCCAGCUAUGUGAGGUGUGGGAGUGCACAUGAGCUGAUGACCGAUGGGUGUGUUUGAAAGAAGAAGUUUAGUGGAAGAAGGAGAGCAAUUUCGAGGUGCAGACUUCUAAUGCAUAUGUUUCGGUAUUUUGGCUAUAACUUUCUCUAAAAAGCUUGAAAUGAAGAGAUUAUUGGACCAUUGGAAAGCUGAGAGAAAGAUAUACAACUCUUAUGUUUAACACUUCACCCAGUUUGGCCUGUAGGAUGGUAAAAAAUCUUAUCAAAGUUGACACACUGCAGUAGUCCUAGAGCAAUUACAAUUUCUAUUAAUUAAUUUGGCAAAGCUGCGACUUACAUAGUUUGCUGAGGAAAUCCCAACUGAAAUUGACUUCUUUCUUCACCCAACUUGGUCUAACUCCAAAACCUAUAAAGACAACCUUUCGGAAGACAUAAGGGGAGAAGAAAACACCAAAUUAACAUUUGAGAGUCAAGGCACAGAGUCAUUGAAGCUAAGAAGAAU